GAGCAACCUGCCCCUGACUCUGGGAUAAGCGCUGGAAACGGCGUCUAAUACUGGAUACGAGUAGCGACCGCAUGGUCAGCUACUGGAAAGAAUUUUGGUUGGGGAUGGGCUCGCGGCCUAUCAGCUUGUUGGUGAGGUAAUGGCUCACCAAGGCGUCGACGGGUAGCCGGCCUGAGAGGGUGACCGGCCACACUGGGACUGAGACACGGCCCAGACUCCUACGGGAGGCAGCAGUGGGGAAUAUUGCACAAUGGGCGCAAGCCUGAUGCAGCAACGCCGCGUGAGGGAUGACGGCCUUCGGGUUGUAAACCUCUUUUAGCAGGGAAGAAGCGAAAGUGACGGUACCUGCAGAAAAAGCGCCGGCUAACUACGUGCCAGCAGCCGCGGUAAUACGUAGGGCGCAAGCGUUAUCCGGAAUUAUUGGGCGUAAAGAGCUCGUAGGCGGUUUGUCGCGUCUGCUGUGAAAUCCGGAGGCUCAACCUCCGGCCUGCAGUGGGUACGGGCAGACUAGAGUGCGGUAGGGGGAGAUUGGAAUUCCUGGUGUAGCGGUGGAAUGCGCAGAUAUCAGGAGGAACACCGAUGGCGAAGGCAGAUCUCUGGGCCGUAACUGACGCUGAGGAGCGAAAGGGUGGGGAGCAACAGGCUUAGAUACCCUGGUAGUCCACCCCGUAAACGUUGGGAACUAGUUGUGGGUCCAUUCCACGGAUUCCGUGACGCAGCUAACGCAUUAAGUUCCCCGCCUGGGGAGUACGGCCGCAAGGCUAAAACUCAAAGGAAUUGACGGGGACCCGCACAAGCGGCGGAGCAUGCGGAUUAAUUCGAUGCAACGCGAAGAACCUUACCAAGGCUUGACAUAUACGAGAACGGGCCAGAAAUGGUCAACUCUUUGGACACUCGUAAACAGGUGUGCAUGGUUGUCGUCAGCUCGUGUCGUGAGAUGUUGGGUUAGUCCCGCACGAGCGCAACCCUCGUUCUAUGUUGCCAGCACGUAAUGGUGGGAACUCCAUGGGG
This 1011-nucleotide ribosomal RNA is filed under the name Microbacterium sp. Z4_80_2. Its description in RNAcentral is "bacterial SSU rRNA". It matches the Rfam family "Bacterial small subunit ribosomal RNA", at positions 119 to 1146 of the family's 1533-position model. Lineage: Bacteria; Bacillati; Actinomycetota; Actinomycetes; Micrococcales; Microbacteriaceae. The record is from RNAcentral.